GGGCUCUGUUUAAUAUUUAAAAUUUGUAUUAUAAAAAUAAAAGGCAGCUUUAUCAAACAGGGGAGCCUGAACAACAAACACGAUUCUAAUGCUUUUGAUAAGAUAGGUGUCGGUUCUGUUGAUAGGUGUCGGUUCUGUUGAUUGGUGUCGGUUCUGUUGCUAGGUGUCGGUUCUGUUGAUAGGUGUCGGUUCUGUUGAUAGGUGUCAGUUCUGUUGCUAGGUGUCGGUUCUGUUGAUAGGUGUCGGUUCUGUUGCUAGGUGUCGGUUCUGUUGAUAGGUGUCGGUUCUGACUCAGUUGAUAGGUGUCUGUUCUGUUGCUAGGUGUCGGUUCUGUUGAUAGGUGUCGGUUCUGUUGAUAGGUGUCGGUUCUGACUCAGUUGAUAGGUGUCUGUUCUGUUGCUAGGUGUCGGUUCUGUUGAUUGGUGUCGGUUCUGUUGAUAGGUGUCGGUUCUGAUGGGCAUAAAAGCUAAGACAUUUCAAGUUGUG
Clupea harengus (Atlantic herring) is the source of this 486-nucleotide long non-coding RNA. Lineage: Eukaryota; Metazoa; Chordata; Actinopteri; Clupeiformes; Clupeidae. The record is from Ensembl.